RNAcentral lists this ribosomal RNA (468 nucleotides) under uncultured bacterium. RNAcentral's name for it is "partial 16S ribosomal RNA". It matches the Rfam family "Bacterial small subunit ribosomal RNA", at positions 28 to 507 of the family's 1533-position model. The record is from RNAcentral.
GACGAACGCUGGCGGCGUGCUUAACACAUGCAAGUCGAACGGAAAGGCCCUGCUUUUGUGGGGUGCUCGAUUGGCGAACGGGUGAGUAACACGUGAGUAUCCUGCCCUUGUCUUUGUGAUAACUUCAGGGAACUGGGGCUAAUACCGGAUAGGAUCUCCUGCUGCAUGGGGGUGAAUGGAAAAAUUCGGCGUUUGUGUAUGGACUCGCGGGUUAUCAGCUUGUUGGUGUGGUAGUGGCUUACCAGGGUUUUGACGGGUAGGCGGCCUGGGAGGGUGACCGGCCACAUUGGGACUGAGAGACGGACCAGACUGCUACGGGAGGCAGCAGUGGGGAAUAUUGCACAAUGGGCGGAAGCCUGAUGCAGCAACGCCGCGUGCGGGAUGCCGGCCUUCGGGGUGUAAACCGCUUUCGACUGUGACGAAGCGUGAGUGACGGUAAUGGGUAAAGAAGCAACGGCUAACUACGUG